This 623-nucleotide long non-coding RNA is filed under the name Pan paniscus (pygmy chimpanzee). Its description in RNAcentral is "lncRNA (ENSPPAG00000045497.1)". The record is from RNAcentral. Lineage: Eukaryota; Metazoa; Chordata; Mammalia; Primates; Hominidae.
UAGGAAGGUAUGUUUUAUCCAACUUAGACCAAAAUGUUAUGGAGUGAAACAUUUAUAAGGUUGCCAGCGGGAGGUGAAAGAAAAGAAAAGGGUAGAGUUUGCAACUUAGUAUCUCUAAAACUUCAUUUAGGGACCUACUAUUAUUACCUUUCUGGAAAUAAAGUACCUGUACGGCCCUUUUAAGGACUGUUUUAGACAAUAUUCACAGGGAGCAUAAAAGCCCUGAAUGAACAAGUUGACAGAAUUGUGUGGCUGGGAGCAUCCGUCUAAUUUGAUGAGUUUAGAACCAAUUCUGCAGCCCAAAUGAAGAGUCUGUGUCUCAGAUGAUACUCAUGGUUCACUAAUGGGUUGCUUUUCAUAAGUAACGAGAUGACUCACAUCAUUUGUUUCCCAAGAUGGUACAGAAGAGUAUACUUGAAGAUUCCAAGUAAAAAUAUCUACCAGAACUUUGAAGAGGAAGACACAAGAAUAGAAAAAGGAAAUAUAUCCUGGGAAAAGCUUUCAGCAGUGAAAGAAUGUGAGACGAGAAAGCGCUCUUGGAAGUCGUUCAUAACCGAUGAAAGGUUAAAUGCAAAGAGAACGAGGGAUUUAGAUACGAGAGCAGACACCUCAUUGAAGUGGCU